This 429-nucleotide ribosomal RNA is filed under the name Bacteroidota bacterium. RNAcentral describes it as "Bacteroidetes bacterium partial 16S ribosomal RNA". It matches the Rfam family "Bacterial small subunit ribosomal RNA", at positions 355 to 776 of the family's 1533-position model. Lineage: Bacteria; Pseudomonadati; Bacteroidota. The record is from RNAcentral.
UAGGGAAUCUUCGGCAAUGGGGGGAACCCUGACCGAGCAACGCCGCGUGAGUGAAGAAGGUUUUCGGAUUGUAAAGCUCUGUUGUUAAGGAAGAACGAGUGUGAGAAUGGAAAGUUCAUGCUGUGACGGUACUUAACCAGAAAGGGACGGCUAACUACGUGCCAGCAGCCGCGGUAAUACGUAGGUCCCGAGCGUUGUCCGGAUUUAUUGGGCGUAAAGCGAGCGCAGGCGGUUAGAAAAGUCUGAAGUUAAAGGCAGUGGCUCAACCAUUGUAGGCUUUGGAAACUGUUUAAAUUGAGUGCAGAAGGGGAGAGUGGAAUUCCAUGUGUAACGGUGAAAUGCGUAGAUAUAUGGAGGAACACCGGUGGCGAAAGCGGCUCUCGGGUCUGUAACUGACGCUGAGGCUAGAAAGCGUGGGGAGCGAACAGG